GACGAACGCUGGCGGCGUGCCUAAUACAUGCAAGUAGAACGCUGAAGGAGGAGCUUGCUUCUCUGGAUGAGUUGCGAACGGGUGGGUAACGCGUAGGUAACCUGCCUGGUAGCGGGGGAUAACUAUUGGAAACGAUAGCUAAUACCGCAUAAGAGUAGAUGUUGCAUGACAUUUGCUUAAAAGGUGCAAUUGCAUCACUACCAGAUGGACCUGCGUUGUAUUAGCUAGUUGGUGAGGUAACGGCUCACCAAGGCGACGAUACAUAGCCGACCUGAGAGGGUGAUCGGCCACACUGGGACUGAGACACGGCCCAGACUCCUACGGGAGGCAGCAGUAGGGAAUCUUCGGCAAUAGACGGAAGUCUGACCGAGCAACGCCGCGUGAGUGAAGAAGGUUUUCGGAUCGGAAAGCCCUGUUGUAAGAGAAGAACGAGUGUGAGAGUGGAAAGUUCACACUGUGACGGUAUCUUACCAGAAAGGGACGGCUAACUACGUG
This 495-nucleotide ribosomal RNA is filed under the name uncultured bacterium. Its description in RNAcentral is "partial 16S ribosomal RNA". It matches the Rfam family "Bacterial small subunit ribosomal RNA", at positions 28 to 507 of the family's 1533-position model. The record is from RNAcentral.